AGAGUUUGAUCCUGGCUCAGAACGAACGCUGGCGGCAGGCUUAACACAUGCAAGUCGAACGCCCCGCAAGGGGAGUGGCAGACGGGUGAGUAACGCGUGGGAAUCUACCCAGAUCUUCGGAACAACUGAGGGAAACUUCAGCUAAUACCGGAUACGCCCUACGGGGGAAAGAUUUAUCGGUUCUGGAUGAGCCCGCGUUGGAUUAGCUAGUUGGUGAGGUAAUGGCCCACCAAGGCGACGAUCCAUAGCUGGUCUGAGAGGAUGAUCAGCCACACUGGGACUGAGACACGGCCCAGACUCCUACGGGAGGCAGCAGUGGGGAAUAUUGGACAAUGGGCGAAAGCCUGAUCCAGCCAUGCCGCGUGAGUGAUGAAGGCCUUAGGGUUGUAAAGCUCUUUCAGUAGGGAAGAUAAUGACGGUACCUACAGAAGAAGCCCCGGCUAACUUCGUGCCAGCCGCCGCGGUAAUA
RNAcentral lists this ribosomal RNA (469 nucleotides) under uncultured bacterium. RNAcentral describes it as "bacterial SSU rRNA". It matches the Rfam family "Bacterial small subunit ribosomal RNA", at positions 8 to 525 of the family's 1533-position model. The record is from RNAcentral.